Molecule: ribosomal RNA, 891 nt
Filed under: uncultured euryarchaeote
Lineage: Archaea; Methanobacteriati; Methanobacteriota
Description: bacterial SSU rRNA
Rfam family: Archaeal small subunit ribosomal RNA
Source: RNAcentral
GGGCUGGGUAAGACGGGUGCCAGCCGCCGCGGUAAUACCUGCAGCCCAAGUGGUGGCCGCUAUUAUUGGGCCUAAAACGUCCGUAGCCGGUUCUAUAAAUGCCUGGGUAAAUCGUACGGCUUAACCGUACGAAUUCCGGGUAGACUGUUCAACUUGGGACCGGGAGAGGCUAGAGGUACUCCUGGGGUAGAGGUGAAAUUCUGUAAUCCUAGGGGGACCACCAGUGGCGAAGGCGUCUAGCUAGAACGGGUCUGACGGUGAGGGACGAAGCCCUGGGGCGCAAACGGGAUUAGAUACCCCGGUAGUCCAGGGUGUAAACGCUGCUCGCUUGAUGUUAGUCGGGCUCCGAGCCCAACUAGUGUCGGAGAGAAGUUGUUAAGCGAGCUGCCUGGGGAGUACGGCCGCAAGACUGAAACUUAAAGGAAUUGGCGGGGGAGCACCGCAACGGGUGGAGCGUGCGGUUUAAUUGGAUUCAACGCCGGAAAACUCACCGGGGGCGACGGUUAUAUGAAGGCCAGGCUGAUGACCUUGCCUGAUUUUCCGAGAGGUGGUGCAUGGCCGUCGUCAGUUCGUACCGUGAGGCGUUCUGUUAAGUCAGACAACGAACGAGACCCUCAUCUUUAGUUGCAACUGGUAAGUUCGCUUACUAGGCACACUAGAGAAACCGCUGGCGAUAAGUCAGAGGAAGGGGAGGGCAACGGUAGGUCAGUAUGCCCUGAAUCCCCCGGGCUACACGCGCGCUACGAAGGCUAGGACAAUGGGUUUCGACACCGAAAGGUGAAGGUAAUCCCGAAACCUAGUCAUAGUUCGGAUUGAGGGUUGUAACUCACCCUCAUGAAGUUGGAAUCCGUAGUAAUCGCGGAUCAACAUUCCCCGGUGAAUACCCCCCUG